UACGUAUGGUGCAAGCGUUGUCCGGAUUUACUGGGUGUAAAGGGCGUGCAGCCGGUGAGACAAGUCAGAUGUGAAAUCCACGGGCUCAACCCGUGAACUGCAUUUGAAACUGUUUCCCUUGAGUGUCGGAGAGGUAAUCGGAAUUCCUUGUGUAGCGGUGAAAUGCGUAGAUAUAAGGAAGAACACCAGUGGCGAAGGCGGAUUACUGGACGAUAACUGACGGUGAGGCGCGAAAGCGUGGGGAGCAAACAGG
Molecule: ribosomal RNA, 253 nt
Filed under: uncultured bacterium
Lineage: Bacteria
Description: partial 16S ribosomal RNA
Rfam family: Bacterial small subunit ribosomal RNA
Source: RNAcentral